RNAcentral lists this ribosomal RNA (270 nucleotides) under uncultured archaeon. Its description in RNAcentral is "partial 16S ribosomal RNA". It matches the Rfam family "Archaeal small subunit ribosomal RNA", at positions 478 to 747 of the family's 1478-position model. The record is from RNAcentral.
AGCUCCUCGAGUGGUAGGGAUGAUUAUUUGGCCUAAAACGUUCGUAGCCGGCUUAUCAAGUCCUUCGUGAAAUCCUGCGAUUCAAUCGUAGGGCGUGCGAGGGAUACUGUUAGGCUUGAGGACGGGAGAGGUCGACGGUAGUCUUGGGGUAGGGGUGAAAUCCUAUAAUCCCAAGCCGACCACCAGUGGCGUAGGCGGUCGACUAGAACGUGCCUGACGGUGAUGGACGAAAGCUGGGGGAGCGAACCGGAUUAGAUACCCGAGUAGUCC